This 431-nucleotide ribosomal RNA is filed under the name uncultured bacterium. RNAcentral's name for it is "partial 16S ribosomal RNA". It matches the Rfam family "Bacterial small subunit ribosomal RNA", at positions 29 to 507 of the family's 1533-position model. The record is from RNAcentral.
AACGAACGCUGGCGGCAGGCCUAACACAUGCAAGUCGAGCGCGCCUUCGGGUGAGCGGCGGACGGGUGAGUAACGCGUGGGAAUAUGCCCUUCUCUACGGAAUAGUCCUGGGAAACUGGGGGUAAUACCGUAUACGCCCUUUGGGGGAAAGGUUUAUCGGGGAAGGAUUAGCCCGCGUUGGAUUAGGUAGUUGGUGGGGUAAUGGCCUACCAAGCCGACGAUCCAUAGCUGGUUUGAGAGGAUGAUCAGCCACACUGGGACUGAGACACGGCCCAGACUCCUACGGGAGGCAGCAGUGGGGAAUCUUAGACAAUGGGGGCAACCCUGAUCUAGCCAUGCCGCGUGAGUGAUGAAGGCCUUAGGGUUGUAAAGCUCUUUCAGCUGGGAAGAUAAUGACGGUACCAGCAGAAGAAGCCCCGGCUAACUCCGUG